CCUACGGGUGACAGCAGUAGGGAAUUUUGCGCAAUGGGCGAAAGCCUGAAGCAGCAACGCCGCGUGAACGAGACGCCCUUCGGGAUGUAAAGCUCUCUCAGUGGGGACGAACGAUGACGGUACCCACAGAGGAAGCACCGGCUAACUCCGUGCCAGCAGCCGCGGUAAUACGGAGGGUGCAAGCGUUGUCCGGAAUCAUUGGGCGUAAAGAGUGCGUAGGCGGUAUGUUAAGUCUGGUGUUAAAUGCAGAAGCUCAACUACUGUUCUGCAGUGGAUACUGGCAAACUAGAGUGCGGUAGAGGUAAAGGGAAUUCCUGGUGUAGCGGUGAAAUGCUUAGAUAUCAGGAGGAACAUCGGUGGCGUAAGCGCUUUACUGGGCCGUAAUUGACGCUGAGGAACGAAAGCGAGGGUAGCAAAUGGGAUUAGAUACCCUAGUAGUC
RNAcentral lists this ribosomal RNA (440 nucleotides) under uncultured bacterium. RNAcentral's name for it is "partial 16S ribosomal RNA". It matches the Rfam family "Bacterial small subunit ribosomal RNA", at positions 338 to 795 of the family's 1533-position model. The record is from RNAcentral.